RNAcentral lists this ribosomal RNA (253 nucleotides) under uncultured bacterium. Its description in RNAcentral is "partial 16S ribosomal RNA". It matches the Rfam family "Bacterial small subunit ribosomal RNA", at positions 1248 to 1500 of the family's 1533-position model. The record is from RNAcentral.
GGCGAAGCCGCGAGGCAGAGCGAACCCCAAAAAAGCCGUCCCAGUUCGGAUCGCAGGCUGCAACCCGCCUGCGUGAAGUCGGAAUCGCUAGUAAUCGCGGAUCAGCAUGCCGCGGUGAAUACGUUCCCGGGCCUUGUACACACCGCCCGUCACACCAUGAGAGUCGGGAACACCCGAAGCCCGUAGCCUAACAGCAAUGAGGGCGCGGUCGAAGGUGGGUUCGAUAAUUGGGGUGAAGUCGUAACAAGGUAUC